UUAAGCGACUAAGCGUACACGGUGGAUGCCCUGGCAGUCAGAGGCGAUGAAGGACGUGCUAAUCUGCGAUAAGCGUCGGUAAGGUGAUAUGAACCGUUAUAACCGGCGAUUUCCGAAUGGGGAAACCCAGUGUGUUUCGACACACUAUCAUUAACUGAAUCCAUAGGUUAAUGAGGCGAACCGGGGGAACUGAAACAUCUAAGUACCCCGAGGAAAAGAAAUCAACCGAGAUUCCCCCAGUAGCGGCGAGCGAACGGGGAGCAGCCCAGAGCCUGAAUCAGUGUGUGUGUUAGUGGAAGCGUCUGGAAAGGCGCGCGAUACAGGGUGACAGCCCCGUACACAAAAAUGCACAUGCUGUGAGCUCGAUGAGUAGGGCGGGACACGUGGUAUCCUGUCUGAAUAUGGGGGGACCAUCCUCCAAGGCUAAAUACUCCUGACUGACCGAUAGUGAACCAGUACCGUGAGGGAAAGGCGAAAAGAACCCCGGCGAGGGGAGUGAAAAAGAACCUGAAACCGUGUACGUACAAGCAGUGGGAGCACGCUUAGGCGUGUGACUGCGUACCUUUUGUAUAAUGGGUCAGCGACUUAUAUUCUGUAGCAAGGUUAACCGAAUAGGGGAGCCGAAGGGAAACCGAGUCUUAACUGGGCGUUAAGUUGCAGGGUAUAGACCCGAAACCCGGUGAUCUAGCCAUGGGCAGGUUGAAGGUUGGGUAACACUAACUGGAGGACCGAACCGACUAAUGUUGAAAAAUUAGCGGAUGACUUGUGGCUGGGGGUGAAAGGCCAAUCAAACCGGGAGAUAGCUGGUUCUCCCCGAAAGCUAUUUAGGUAGCGCCUCGUGAAUUCAUCUCCGGGGGUAGAGCACUGUUUCGGCAAGGGGGUCAUCCCGACUUACCAACCCGAUGCAAACUGCGAAUACCGGAGAAUGUUAUCACGGGAGACACACGGCGGGUGCUAACGUCCGUCGUGAAGAGGGAAACAACCCAGACCGCCAGCUAAGGUCCCAAAGUCAUGGUUAAGUGGGAAACGAUGUGGGAAGGCCCAGACAGCCAGGAUGUUGGCUUAGAAGCAGCCAUCAUUUAAAGAAAGCGUAAUAGCUCACUGGUCGAGUCGGCCUGCGCGGAAGAUGUAACGGGGCUAAACCAUGCACCGAAGCUGCGGCAGCGACGCUUAUGCGUUGUUGGGUAGGGGAGCGUUCUGUAAGCCUGCGAAGGUGUGCUGUGAGGCAUGCUGGAGGUAUCAGAAGUGCGAAUGCUGACAUAAGUAACGAUAAAGCGGGUGAAAAGCCCGCUCGCCGGAAGACCAAGGGUUCCUGUCCAACGUUAAUCGGGGCAGGGUGAGUCGACCCCUAAGGCGAGGCCGAAAGGCGUAGUCGAUGGGAAACAGGUUAAUAUUCCUGUACUUGGUGUUACUGCGAAGGGGGGACGGAGAAGGCUAUGUUGGCCGGGCGACGGUUGUCCCGGUUUAAGCGUGUAGGCUGGUUUUCCAGGCAAAUCCGGAAAAUCAAGGCUGAGGCGUGAUGACGAGGCACUACGGUGCUGAAGCAACAAAUGCCCUGCUUCCAGGAAAAGCCUCUAAGCAUCAGGUAACAUCAAAUCGUACCCCAAACCGACACAGGUGGUCAGGUAGAGAAUACCAAGGCGCUUGAGAGAACUCGGGUGAAGGAACUAGGCAAAAUGGUGCCGUAACUUCGGGAGAAGGCACGCUGAUAUGUAGGUGAAGUCCCUCGCGGAUGGAGCUGAAAUCAGUCGAAGAUACCAGCUGGCUGCAACUGUUUAUUAAAAACACAGCACUGUGCAAACACGAAAGUGGACGUAUACGGUGUGACGCCUGCCCGGUGCCGGAAGGUUAAUUGAUGGGGUUAGCCGCAAGGCGAAGCUCUUGAUCGAAGCCCCGGUAAACGGCGGCCGUAACUAUAACGGUCCUAAGGUAGCGAAAUUCCUUGUCGGGUAAGUUCCGACCUGCACGAAUGGCGUAAUGAUGGCCAGGCUGUCUCCACCCGAGACUCAGUGAAAUUGAACUCGCUGUGAAGAUGCAGUGUACCCGCGGCAAGACGGAAAGACCCCGUGAACCUUUACUAUAGCUUGACACUGAACAUUGAGCCUUGAUGUGUAGGAUAGGUGGGAGGCUUUGAAGUGUGGACGCCAGUCUGCAUGGAGCCGACCUUGAAAUACCACCCUUUAAUGUUUGAUGUUCUAACGUUGACCCGUAAUCCGGGUUGCGGACAGUGUCUGGUGGGUAGUUUGACUGGGGCGGUCUCCUCCUAAAGAGUAACGGAGGAGCACGAAGGUUGGCUAAUCCUGGUCGGACAUCAGGAGGUUAGUGCAAUGGCAUAAGCCAGCUUGACUGCGAGCGUGACGGCGCGAGCAGGUGCGAAAGCAGGUCAUAGUGAUCCGGUGGUUCUGAAUGGAAGGGCCAUCGCUCAACGGAUAAAAGGUACUCCGGGGAUAACAGGCUGAUACCGCCCAAGAGUUCAUAUCGACGGCGGUGUUUGGCACCUCGAUGUCGGCUCAUCACAUCCUGGGGCUGAAGUAGGUCCCAAGGGUAUGGCUGUUCGCCAUUUAAAGUGGUACGCGAGCUGGGUUUAGAACGUCGUGAGACAGUUCGGUCCCUAUCUGCCGUGGGCGCUGGAGAACUGAGGGGGGCUGCUCCUAGUACGAGAGGACCGGAGUGGACGCAUCACUGGUGUUCGGGUUGUCAUGCCAAUGGCACUGCCCGGUAGCUAAAUGCGGAAGAGAUAAGUGCUGAAAGCAUCUAAGCACGAAACUUGCCCCGAGAUGAGUUCUCCCUGACUCCUUGAGAGUCCUGAAGGAACGUUGAAGACGACGACGUUGAUAGGCCGGGUGUGUAAGCGCAGCGAUGCGUUGAGCUAACCGGUACUAAUGAACCGUGAGGCUUAACCU
RNAcentral lists this ribosomal RNA (2903 nucleotides) under Escherichia coli. Its description in RNAcentral is "23S ribosomal RNA". It matches the Rfam family "Bacterial large subunit ribosomal RNA". The record is from RNAcentral. Lineage: Bacteria; Pseudomonadati; Pseudomonadota; Gammaproteobacteria; Enterobacterales; Enterobacteriaceae.